GGCCUGGCAGCUCUGGGGGCCUGCAGCGGCAGGGCUGAGGUCCCGGCCUCCUUGCAGGUUGUCAGCCGGGUCCCCUCUCGGCUCCUGAAGGCUGCCGGCAUCUUCCUCUCAAGGGCCCUUCCCAUCUUCCAACCGGAAACAGCAUGGCCAGUUCUCCUGGCUCUGAGGGGCUAGUGAGCAGGCGAGGCCACCCCGAUGACCCCCCUUUUGAGUUUAACUGAGGACGGCGCACGUCCUCACGUUCCAGGGCUCCUGUGGAGAAAUUCCGCACACCACCCUCACCUUCCUGUAGGUCAGGCCGGUUCCUUCUGCGGUGGGCGUGGGAGAGCCACAGCCCAGUGGAGAGGCGUUGCAAGGCCCCACACCCCUUCCACCAUGUUCUACCAACCACGGCAAAUCAAAGGCCACCGAGACCCAGGGCCUAGGGACACAGACCCAUCCCGGGAGGGGAGGUGCCGCCCAGUCACAGUCCCACCAGUGCAUGGACACAGGGAGAAUUGCCCGGGCCCCGGGUUUGGUGAAUCCGGCAGCCCGCCCUCUGCCCCAGCGAGUCCCUUCCCCUCUCAUAAAACCGCAUUCUCCCCUCCCUAGACCACCAGAGCCCCAUCUGAUUAAGGCAUCGAGAUCAAAGCUCAGCAGAGGGCGGCUCAUGAUGGGCAGCUCAAAAAAAUAAACCCACCAAUCAGAGUCCGUGUUCCUGUGACCGGUGGCGGGUUCGGAUGCAGAGGAGGCUUCUCAGUGCGGUUCCUCCUCAUCUCGGAACCUGCCACCCCACUCAAGCCCGACAUAGGCCAGGACAGCCAGGACGGCCGCAGCGAGGGCAACACGAGGCCCGUCGACAUCCUGAGGCCCCCGGGCCUGUCGCCGAGUCCCGGCUUGGGGAGUGUCCCCGGGCCACACUGGUCCUGCUCCCGGCUGUGUGGUCUCCCAGGCGCGUGGCUCCUCCCUCCGGGGCCCAGGCUCUGGUGUGAGCCACUUUUUCCAUAGGAGACGCCCAUACUUGCAGCUCACGCCUUUGUCUGGUGCCCUGGCCUCACACCUAUAGGAAUUGGGUACCUGGGGGCCUCUUCAUCUUUACUUGUCUCAGCUUAGAGAAGCCCAGCUACACUUCCUCCAUGCCUGGAUUCAUGCACGGCCCCACAGGGUGAGGCCUGGACACCCUCACGGGCACUGGGGCUCCACGGAUGCAGAAGGCAGCCUGGCCCGGUAGCUCGGGGGUCUGAGAUGGAGGUGGAGUAAGACAGAGUGACAAAGGCUGCGUCCUGGAGGCAGGCUCGGAGCCUCCCUGAGCUCAGAGAGCCCGCGUGCGCCAGGAAGCCACACCUGCAGGACCCGAGUCGGAACUCAGAGGCUGGUACAGCCGCGGUGCUUGUCCUGUAGAUAAGAAUGGCCUCCUCUGGCGGCCAAAGUUAAUUAAACUGACAAUCUUGAUAAGUUGCACAGUUACCUGCUCGGGGACAAAGAAGAUGGGAGCCUUGUUUGUGGUUUCUUCUUGUUCUUUCCUGUGCCCCACAGUCAUUUUAAAAUUAAAUUAAAUGGCUUAUCUGCAC
This 1550-nucleotide long non-coding RNA is filed under the name Homo sapiens (human). RNAcentral describes it as "non-protein coding LINC02361:15". Lineage: Eukaryota; Metazoa; Chordata; Mammalia; Primates; Hominidae. The record is from RNAcentral.